UUACUGGGCUUAAAGAGUUCGUAGGUGGUUGAAAAAGUUAGUGGUGAAAUCCCAGAGCUUAACUCUGGAACUGCCAUUAAAACUUUUCAGCUAGAGUAUGAUAGAGGAAAGCAGAAUUUCUAGUGUAGAGGUGAAAUUCGUAGAUAUUAGAAAGAAUACCAAUUGCGAAGGCAGCUUUCUGGAUCAUUACUGACACUGAGGAACGAAAGCAUGGUAGCGAAGAGGAUUAGAUACCCUCGUAGUCCAUGCCGUAAACGAUGUGUGUUAGACGUUGGAAAUUUAUUUUCAGUGUCGCAGGGAAACCGAUAAACACACCGCCUGGGGAGUACGACCGCAAGGUUAAAACUCAAAUGAAUUGACGGGGACCCGCACAAGUAGUGGAGCAUGUGGUUUAAUUCGAAGAUACGCGCAGAACCUUACCAACACUUGACAUGUUCGUCGCGACUAUGAGAGAUCAGAGUUUUCGGUUCGGCCGGACGAAACACAGGUGCUGCAUGGCUGUCGUCAGCUCGUGUCGUGAGAUGUUGGGUUAAGUCCCGCAACGAGCGCAACCCUCACUUUUAGUUGCCAUCAUUAAGUUGGGCACUCUGAAAGAACUGCCAGUGAUAAGCUGGAGGAAGGUGGGGAUGACGUCAAGUCCUCAUGGCCCUUACGUGUUGGGCUACACACGUGCUACAAUGGCAUCUACAACAGGAAGCAAGACUGCGAAGUUAAGCAAAUCCCUAAAAGAUACCUCAGUUCGGAUUGCACUCCGCAACUCGAGUGCAUGAAGCUGGAAUUACUAGUAAUCGUGGAUCAGCGUGCCACGGUGAAUGCGUUCCCGGGUCUUGUACACACCGCCCGUCACACCAUGGGAGUUGGUUCUACCUUAAGGCAAGGUUUCAAACCCUUGACCACGGUAUAGUCAGCGACUGGGGUGAAGUCGUAACAAGGUAGCC
This 938-nucleotide ribosomal RNA is filed under the name uncultured bacterium. RNAcentral's name for it is "bacterial SSU rRNA". It matches the Rfam family "Bacterial small subunit ribosomal RNA", at positions 551 to 1501 of the family's 1533-position model. The record is from RNAcentral.